RNAcentral lists this ribosomal RNA (440 nucleotides) under uncultured bacterium. RNAcentral's name for it is "partial 16S ribosomal RNA". It matches the Rfam family "Bacterial small subunit ribosomal RNA", at positions 338 to 795 of the family's 1533-position model. The record is from RNAcentral.
CCUACGGGUGGCUGCAGUGGGGAAUAUUGCACAAUGGGGGAAACCCUGAUGCAGCGACGCCGCGUGAGUGAAGAAGUAUCUCGGUAUGUAAAGCUCUAUCAGCAGGGAAGAAAAUGAGGGUACCUGUGUAAGAAGCGCCGCCUAACUACGUGCCAGCAGCCGCGGUAAUACGUAGGGGGCAAGCGUUAUCCGGAUUUACUGGGUGUAAAGGGAGCGUAGACGGCAGCACAAGUCUGGAGUGAAAUGCCGGGGCUUAACCCCGGAACUGCUUUGGAAACUGUGCAUCUAGAGUGCAGGAGAGGGAAGCGGAAUGCCUAGUGUAGCGGUGAAAUGCGUAGAUAUUAGGAGGAACACCAGUGGCGAAGGCGGCUUACUGGACUGUAACUGACGUUGAGGCUCGAAAGCGUGGGGAGCAAACAGGAUUAGAUACCCGUGUAGUC